AACGAACGCUGGCGGCAUGCCUAACACAUGCAAGUCGAACGAGACCUUCGGGUCUAGUGGCGCACGGGUGCGUAACGCGUGGGAACCUGCCCUUAGGUUCGGAAUAACUCCCCGAAAGGGGUGCUAAUACCGGAUAAUGUCUUCGGACCAAAGAUUUAUCGCCUUUGGAUGGGCCCGCGUUGGAUUAGCUAGUUGGUAGGGUAAAAGCCUACCAAGGCGACGAUCCAUAGCUGGUCUGAGAGGAUGAUCAGCCACACUGGGACUGAGACACGGCCCAGACUCCGACGGGAGGCAGCAGUGGGGAAUAUUGGACAAUGGGCGAAAGCCUGAACCAGCAAUGCCGCGUGAGUGAUGAAGGCCUUAGGGUUGUAAAGCUCCUUUACCCGGGAUGAUAAUGACAGUACCGGGAGAAUAAGCUCCGGCCAACUCCGUG
This 433-nucleotide ribosomal RNA is filed under the name uncultured bacterium. RNAcentral's name for it is "partial 16S ribosomal RNA". It matches the Rfam family "Bacterial small subunit ribosomal RNA", at positions 29 to 507 of the family's 1533-position model. The record is from RNAcentral.